CCUAGAUUGGCCCAGACAAUAGAAAAAGUUCAGUGUUGCUUUUAUUCUCAUUUCCAUGUAAGCUGUACAAAAAAAGGUACAAAGAUGGUCUUCAGGUCAAAAUGACCCGUGAGGCAAAUGGAGUUGAAAUCAAGGUCACAGAGUUAUUUACAAACCACAGAAUGUUACAAAGUUUUAGUUGUGUCUCAGAUCAAUCAGUAGCAGAAGUAAACAAGGCAAACCAGGUGGUGUUCUCGCAGACUUCAGAAGACCACCUGUUAUUUCAAGAGGUUAUAAAGGUGUAUACAGGUCCCGAGGUGAGGAUGCAGCUAGCUGUGGCAGAGGGACUGAGGGGUCACAAGGUGACAUGUGACAAUUUCUUCACCUCAUAUGAACUCGGACAGCAGCUCCUGAAGAGGAAGAUCACCAUGGUUGGUACAGUUCGAAAGAACAAGCCUGAGCUCCCACCUGCACUGCUUGGGUCAAAGGAGAGAGAGGUCUUCUCCUCAAAGUUUGCCUUCACACCCACCACCACUCUAGUUUCCUACCUCCCAAAGAAA
This is a long non-coding RNA of Poecilia latipinna (sailfin molly), 539 nucleotides long. RefSeq lists it as uncharacterized. The transcript has 2 exons. NCBI's taxonomy places the organism in Eukaryota, Metazoa, Chordata, Actinopteri, Cyprinodontiformes, Poeciliidae. The record is from RefSeq and is a predicted model, not a curated record.